Molecule: ribosomal RNA, 1611 nt
Filed under: Triticum aestivum (bread wheat)
Lineage: Eukaryota; Viridiplantae; Streptophyta; Magnoliopsida; Poales; Poaceae
Description: partial small subunit ribosomal RNA
Source: RNAcentral
AUGGCGUCGUCCCCCGCGCGCCCCGCCGCCGCGUCCGUCUCCGGCGCCUUCGGCCUCCCGCCCGACGCCCGCUGCUCCUUCGACCAGACGCGCCGCCGCGCCGAGGAUUCGCAGGACAAGAGGCAGCUGGUGCGGACGUUCGUCAACGUGUACGGCCAGGAGGGCUACCCCAAGGAGGCCGUCAUGGCGGCCGUCGAGGAGUGCAUGAGGAAGCAGGCCGAGGGCCUGCUGCAUUCGCUCGAGGGCAUCGGCGGGAGGCUCUCGCAGCUCGAGCUCUACUGCUACAAGCUCGAGCGCUCCAUCGGGGAGCUGCGCAGCGACGUCAUGGACUACCACAGCGAGGGCACCGUCAACUUCCGCUGCCUCGACAAAAAUCUCAGACAGGUUCAGAAAGCUGUGCAGAUGCUUCAGGAUAAGCAUGAGCCGGCCGACACGGCGCAGCAACUGGCCAAACUUCAAAUAGCGCAUGAAUUCCCUGCUCGAACAAAUGAAGCCACUGCCUUGUCGAUGCUCACUGCAAGGGAAAAUGUCAAUGAUCAUAGCACACAAUUCACCAACCCUGAGGUUUCUUUUGUGCCAAUUCACCAAGUUAAUACCAUGCAGUCUCCUGCUAUGCCGAACCAAAGUAGCGGUGGUUAUAUUCUGCAGCAACUAGUGCCCGUCUCUUUGAGCACGCAACAUGAUCAGCAACAUCCGAGCCAAGCUGCGGUGUACUAUAUGCAAAGCCAAAAUCAGGUGAACUGCGCAGAGAACAAACCGUCCGAGUCUUUUGUUCAGGUUAUGCAGCCGCAUGUCCAGAACCCUGAAGCCAGGGUUGCAGUUGAGCUACCUCAGAAAUCUAGUCAGCCAACGGAAAUGUACCCUCCACUGCAGCAUCAUAUGCUACAAAUGCCUGCUCAGCAUCACGAGUCACAGGCAUGGCGAUCACAGCCCCCUGUCGCGCAACAGCAGCACUACAGUGUUCAGCCAGUCCCACCACAGAUGGUUCAACAGAAAACAUCUUCUCCUCAUGCUCAAAGUACUCCUCAAGUCACGCUCAUGUAUCCUCAAUACUCUUCUCAGAAGCCUGCCAAUGCUACCACUGAGCCACUUCCGAGAAGUUUGGUUGGGCAGUCUCCAUACUCUUCACCCCAGCAGAAGCAUCAUGAAGUCAUGCAUUCGUUUUAUGGCCAAGGCAACACAAUUUUGCUUCCCACGGCAGAGCAUAAUAUCCAGCAUCAACAGCCACAGCAAAUGCAAACACAGAGCCAGGCCUCAUGCCCACCUCAACCAAGCAAGCCCAGCCACUGCAGUGUUGCAUCAUAUGCUGUUCAGGGUAGUGGCCGAGCCUACACUGCCACAUAUAAGAAUCCUGCCGAGAGCCCUGCAACUGUUGUUGCUGUUCUGCCUCAGCAUUCGGCAACAGCUCCUAUGGCGUUUCAUCAUUUGGGGCCACAAAUCUUGCAUAAGAAUCCAUAUGGAAGUAUGUUCGAAACGACCAGUGUAGUAGGGUAUCCACAUGAUCAGGUUGGGAGUAUGACGCUCCCAGUGGUGACUGCGGACUCCAGUGCCAUGGUUGAUAAGCUCAAUGCUGGUAGCAAUGUUACAUCCCCGCGAGACUGGCCUGCAUAG